UCAGUGCCGUGUGGUUUAUUGGGUUAUUUUUAUUUGGAGAAAUAAAGUCAUUGCUCAGAACAGCCUGGAUGGAAAGGGGAGUGAAGCAGCCUCUCCACCUUACAGGUGAAAAUUCUGAGACUUCGGCUGCCUGUUGAUUUAAUCCAGGCAGUCCGGAGUAAAUUGUAAGAGACAGGGCUCGGAUGUGAGUGUUACUCAGAACACUAAGCAGUGGGGAAGAAAUGGCCUGGCGAGGUGAUAGAUUUUCCAACUUAAUGUCAAACUAUCUCACGCCUACACAUCUCACCAAUGUCCAGCCUACUUGGCGGAGAGUACUCUAGAGAGACAUCGAAGUCCCUGUUUUCUAAGCUUGCUUUUGUCCUACUCACUGGGAUUUUGAAGAUCUUGUUAAGUAUGACAAGAUGGUUUAGUGAUCCCGCCUUCCUUUCCGGUUUGCCCGGAUGCCAGAAAGGACCCCAUGGAGAAGGACUGCUGAGAGCUGGAGAUCUUGGCUGGCACUCAUGGCUCGUGCCUGUUCCUAAGCCUGAGUGGCAGCUACAGUUAAGAUGUCGUUUCCGGUGUAAAGCCAGUGAACGAGACCCACUAGUCCAGAGAGUUCUGCUCUUGCCCGUCACCGUCAUCUGCGUCUGACCUUCUAACAUCUGUCCUCUUGGCCCACAGAUGUCACAGACCCAGAGCCUGCUGUGUACCAGCUGAAAGAUCCCCAGUCUGAUAACAUCACCCUCUGC
This 728-nucleotide long non-coding RNA is filed under the name Rattus norvegicus (Norway rat). Its description in RNAcentral is "long non-coding RNA NONRATT010392". The record is from RNAcentral. Lineage: Eukaryota; Metazoa; Chordata; Mammalia; Rodentia; Muridae.